This 238-nucleotide ribosomal RNA is filed under the name uncultured bacterium. RNAcentral's name for it is "partial 16S ribosomal RNA". It matches the Rfam family "Bacterial small subunit ribosomal RNA", at positions 539 to 776 of the family's 1533-position model. The record is from RNAcentral.
CGUUAUUCGGAUUUACUGGGCUUAAAGAGUUCGUAGGCGGCUUGGAAAGUGGGGUGUGAAAGCCCUCGGCUCAACCGAGGAAUUGCGCUCCAAACUACCGAGCUUGAGUAGGCUAGAGGUGAGCAGAACUGAUGGUGGAGCGGUGAAAUGCGUUGAUAUCAUCAGGAAUACCGGAGGCGAAGGCGGCUCACUGGGACCUAACUGACGCUGAGGAACGAAAGCUAGGGGAGCAAACGGG